AUGCACGCUGGCGGCGUGCCUAAUACAUGCAAGUCGAGCGAACAGACGAGGAGCUUGCUCCUCUGACGUUAGCGGCGGACGGGUGAGUAACACGUGGAUAACCUACCUAUAAGACUGGGAUAACUUCGGGAAACCGGAGCUAAUACCGGAUAAUAUAUUGAACCGCAUGGUUCAAUAGUGAAAGACGGUUUUGCUGUCACUUAUAGAUGGAUCCGCGCCGCAUUGGCUAGUUGGUAAGGUAACGGCUUACCAAGGCAACGAUGCGUAGCCGACCUGAGAGGGUGAUCGGCCACACUGGAACUGAGACACGGUCCAGACUCCUACGGGAGGCAGCAGUAGGGAAUCUUCCGCAAUGGGCGAAAGCCUGACGGAGCAACGCCGCGUGAGUGAUGAAGGUCUUCGGAUCGUAAAACUCUGUUAUUAGGGAAGAACAAAUGUGUAAGUAACUAUGCACGUCUUGACGGUACCUAAUCAGAAAGCCACGGCUAACUACGUG
This 496-nucleotide ribosomal RNA is filed under the name uncultured bacterium. RNAcentral's name for it is "partial 16S ribosomal RNA". It matches the Rfam family "Bacterial small subunit ribosomal RNA", at positions 29 to 507 of the family's 1533-position model. The record is from RNAcentral.